This 253-nucleotide ribosomal RNA is filed under the name uncultured bacterium. RNAcentral describes it as "partial 16S ribosomal RNA". It matches the Rfam family "Bacterial small subunit ribosomal RNA", at positions 524 to 776 of the family's 1533-position model. The record is from RNAcentral.
UACGUAGGGUGCAGGCGUUAAUCGGAAUUACUGGGCGUAAAGCGUGCGUAGGUGGUUUGUUAAGUCUGCUGUGAAAGCCCCGGGCUCAACCUGGGAAUGGCAGUGGAUACUGGCAAGCUAGAGUGCGGUAGAGGGUAGUGGAAUUCCCGGUGUAGCGGUGAAAUGCGUAGAGAUCGGGAGGAACACCAGUGGCGAAGGCGGCUACCUGGACCAGCACUGACACUCAGGCACGAAAGCGUGGGGAGCAAACAGG